Molecule: ribosomal RNA, 229 nt
Filed under: uncultured bacterium
Lineage: Bacteria
Description: partial 16S ribosomal RNA
Rfam family: Bacterial small subunit ribosomal RNA
Source: RNAcentral
UACGUAGGCGGAAAAUUAAGUCAGUAGUGAAAUCCUGCAGCUUAACUGUAGAACUGUUAUUGAUACUGGUUUUCUUGAAUAUAGUUGAGGUAGGCGGAAUGUGUAAUGUAGCGGUGAAAUGCUUAGAUAUUACACAGAACAACGAUUGCGAAGGCAGCUUACUAAGCUAUGAUUGACGCUGAGGUACGAAAGCGUGGGGAGCGAACAGGAUUAGAUACCCUGGUAGUCC